AUGGGUGAGCGGAAGGUGCUGAACAAGUACUACCCGCCGGACUUCGACCCGGCGAAGAUCCCGCGGCGGAAGCAGCCUAAGAACCAGCAGAUCAAGGUGCGCAUGAUGCUUCCCAUGAGCAUCCGGUGUGGCACCUGCGGCACCUACAUCUACAAGGGCACCAAAUUCAACUCGCGCAAGGAGGACUGCAUCGGCGAGACUUACUUGGGCAUACAAAUAUUUAGAUUUUACUUCAAGUGUACUAGGUGCUCAGCUGAGAUUACCUUCAAAACAGACCCUCAGAAUUCAGACUACACGGUAGAAUCUGGGGCUAGUCGUAAUUUUGAACCUUGGCGUGAAGAGGAUGAGGUUGUGGAUAAAGAGAAGAGGAAGCGAGAAGCGGAGGAGAUGGGUGAUGCAAUGAGAGCACUGGAGAACAGAGCAAUGGAUUCAAAGCAAGACAUGGACAUACUUGCUGCUUUAGAAGAGAUGCGGUCGAUGAAGUCUAGACAUGCUGGAGUCUCCGUUGACCAGAUGCUUGAAAUUUUGAAGCAUUCCGCUCAUCAAAAGGAGGGAAAAACAGUAGCAGAAUUAGAUGAAGAAGACGAAGAACUCAUCAAAUCAAUCACUUUCAGAAACUCGAAAGAUUAUGUUAAACGGAUCGAAGACGAUGAUGACGACGAUGAUGACAAUUUUGGUAUACCAGGACAGUCAAGUGUCACGUCAAAGAUUAAUGAAUCUUCUGAAUCAAUGACGAACCCAACAGAUGUCUUGACCAAAGCUAAUGGACCUGAGAGUGCCAACAAAGAAGGAAACAAGAGCUUGGCAUCUAAGAUGCCCAAAUUCAUAGUAAAACCAAAGCCCGCUGGUGCAAAUCCUCAGAAGAAACAGAAGACGGAAACUGAUGCCGUCCAAGAUAACGGCAAAGCACCGGCUGCUGAGAACAAAAAUGAAGCUUCAGUAGAGAAGACCAAUGUUCUUCAGUCCCUCUGCCAGUAUGAUGAUAGCGAUGAAAGUGAUGACUGA
RNAcentral lists this ribosomal RNA (1005 nucleotides) under Triticum aestivum (bread wheat). RNAcentral describes it as "partial small subunit ribosomal RNA". Lineage: Eukaryota; Viridiplantae; Streptophyta; Magnoliopsida; Poales; Poaceae. The record is from RNAcentral.